Molecule: long non-coding RNA, 2356 nt
Filed under: Homo sapiens (human)
Lineage: Eukaryota; Metazoa; Chordata; Mammalia; Primates; Hominidae
Description: HSALNT0269647
Source: RNAcentral
UUUAUCCAAGGCUGUUGAUACAAGGGACACGGUUAAUUAUCUCUUGCCAAACAUAAUAAACCUGUGCGAAGUCAUUCUCUGAGCAUUGCCUGGGUCAGGGUCUCAGAGUCUGCAUGGCAGUCACCAUUGUCUUGACUUGGGAAAGAAUCUGACCCCCGCAGAAGCAGAGCAGCAGCUAGGACCACAGGCCACAGGUGGGAUCUGUGAUGGGGAUCCCGACGGGGACUUUUGGAUCUUUAGGGGAUCAGUAGAAACCAGCUUGGUCAAGGGAUUUCUCAGCCAAGCAUCAAUGAAUCUUGAAUCUCAGCUGAUGACACUCCUGGGCAAAAUGGCUAUGAAACUGGAAAGAUGUCUAUGAAACACACAGUCCCUCAAGCCAGAAAAUGCACUUGACACAUCUGUGUCCCUUGAGGAACCUGAAGUUUUGGUGAAUCCAGAAAGCCAUGGAUGGCAGAACUGACCACAGAAAAAGAAACAGAGGCUCAGAAAGGUGAAGCCAAUUGCCUGAAGCCACACAGAAUAUCAGCUGGAGUCAGGAUUCUAACACCAUCCCAUGUAGCUGAUGCUAUCUACUGCCAGCCUGGAGCCAGGCUAAGAGGAAGAGAAAGAAGAAAAUGCCUGCAGAAACAUUCUAUGUAAAGAACACUUUGGGAUCAGAAAAAGAAGCGCGCCCGUGUUUCACUUGCAGCCUCACCCUGCACUAGGAAAUGCUAGGCCAAUGCAGAAAACUACAUCCUGCUUGGCAAGCCCUGCAGGACACACACACACACACACAAGCAUGUGCACACACACGUGGCCCUUCAACGUCACCUCAGCUGUGGGUUAGGAGCCACACCUGUCCACACCUGGUGUUACAACCAUCUGCUCCAUUUCAGGUAACCCUCCUUCCUCCACUGCACAAUCACUUAGAAACUGUAACUCUUCUUGGGCCCAGGUGCACAGGUAAAUUCGGAUCUUUCCCAAGGGAUCUCUGGGGCCUCGGGUCACAGCAGACCAGAACUUGACCUGGAGGCUGGUGUCCCCCAAACUGCUGUAUGGACCCUGCAACAGCUGGGGAGUCCUCGUCUCAACAGCCCUGCUGUCUCCCACUGAGGUCAUCUGCUGGCCCUCCUGGUGGCCCUGUGAGGAAGCCAGGAGUCACUGAUGCUGCUCUAUCGACGGCGACAGAUGGAUCACAGCUGAUAAGUGACUUGCCCAGAGUUUUGCAGCUUGGAACUCACAGAGCAGAAGCUGGGAAUCAGGUGGGGAAGCACCCAGCUCUCUGCUUCUCCUAAGCCAAGCUCUGCAGCGAGGUCCUGCUUCCCUCGGGACUCCUCUUUCAGCAUGACAUGAACUCAUUUUGAAUGUAAAGGCAAUGUCAAAGCCCUACAGCUAUUUAUACCAGAGCAUGUGUUUAUUAGCUCACUCUCCAGGGGGAAUAUUGCUGUUGUGAAUACACAACUACUCAUAACUACCGUCUUAAAAAUCUUCUCUACCCCAAAAUAUUUACUAAUGUAUUUAAGUAUUUAUUUUCUUGUAGUGAAAGGAAAUCAAGAUAAUUCUAAAAUUGUGGAAGAAAACAAAAAAAGUAUAAAGGAGAAAACAGAAGCUUCACAUAUUCUAACCAUUAUUAAUCUCAAAAUAUUUUAUUCCAGGUCCUUGUCUAUGGUCCAGGUCCUUGUCUAUGGUCCUAUAGCCUAUGCUGAGUGACACUGUGCUAUGUGUAUGCCAUUUGCACUCACCGUGGGGUCAUAAGCGUGCCAUUUCCUUUUUAUUAAAAAAAUACUUUGCAUACAUGAAAGUAUGUUUGCAUUAAAACUAUGCAAACAUCAGUUUUAAUAACUGUAUAAAUAUUCCAUCACAAGGACAUUCCAUAAUUUAUUUAAUCACUUUGGUAGUGUUGGACAUUUAAUUUUUUAAAAAGUCAAAUAAUGCCAGGAUUAAUGCCUGUUUAUAUGAACCAGUUUUCAUUUCCUGAUUAUUUUCUUCGGCCAGAUCCCCAAAAGUGGAAUUACUGAUAAAAGUAGGUGAGUGUUUUUAACACAUUUCUUCUUAUACACACACACACACACACACACACACACACACACCCAUCAACAAAUAGUUUUUCCUGGAAGGAACUUCCAGUAGUGUAUGAGAAAGCCUAUUGCACCACACCAUCCCCAGCAAUGAGAAUUACUACUGUAAAAAAAUCUUUGUUACAUUAAAUUUUUGGAGGACAUCUCAUUUUCUUGAUUGCAUUUGAUUAACUCAAAAUGUAUUUCUACAGGGUGGGGAACAUCACACACUGGGGCCUGUCGUGGGGUGGGGGGAUGGGGGAGGGAUAGCAUUAGGAGAAAUACCUAAUGUAAAUGACGAGUUAAUGGGUGCAGCAAAC